CAGAAUCUUUCAAAUAUUUUACUUUACUAUAGUUCAUGUGCACACUAGUAUAAAAUGUAUACGCUUUUUACACAUCGUAAAAUAGUAUAUAUAUUUUUAUACCUCGUAGAACAGUCUAUACACUUUGGAUACACAAAAGCGUUCGGGCUACAUACAUUGGGGAUACACUGCAACAAUGUACGAUACACUUUAUAUACAAAAAUUAUACAAUAUAUAAAUGUGUAUAUAUAAUUUUUAUACACUAUAUAAAAUUCCAAAUUUAGUGUGGUGCUUCGUAUGUUAUUGGCAUAGAAUGGUCAGCAUAUGCAACUCUUAAAACACAAUCCUUUCCAUCCACCUUUUCUUUUCUAUCAUCUGUUAGACAUCCACAUAGAAAACUCCACCACCCACCGCUCUGCAUUGUGGCUGUCGCUGCAAUGCCACCACCAUCGCCACUGCACUGCCCUACUCGUACCCCUAAAAACAGAUUUUCAAAAAUCAGACUCGCCCAUCCCUGAACCAGCCUUAUCAAUCCAUAAUUUCACCAACCAACCUAAAGAAUUAAGGUCUAAAAGAGAGAAAAAGAAAAAAAGAGUGAGAAUUUAUACAAAAAAAUAAUCACAAAAAGAAGAAGAAAUAGAAAAGUAAGAAUGAGAAGAAUAAAAAAAUAAAAGGGGAUGUAUAUACAGUUUUUAUACAUUAUGUAAAAAGACUAUACACUCAUAAUACACAAAUACACUCGUGGUACACUCAAUAUAACACUUUGGAUAAACACACACUCGAGAUAUACUCAAUAUACACUAAGAAUGCACAGCUAACGUAGACAAUUUUUAUAUAUUACAUGGCAAUAUAUACAAUUUUUAUACAAAGAUACAAUAUAAUUUCGUGCAUGUAUAACUUUUAUGUACCUGAUUUAUAAUUCGUAUACAUUGUAUAACUGUGUAUAUAUAAUAUUUAUAUGAAAUUGCAAUACAAAUACUGCUUAGCCAUCCCAUUAAACCCAAAACCACUACCAAUACCCACUUCAAAAGAUCUUCACUCAUAAAAUAUCAUUAUGACCCAAAGAAGAAAAAUAAGAAGAAGAAAAGAAGCAAUUACUCUUACAAAAAAGAAAAACCUGCUGAGUUACCAUACAAUUUCAUAUCCUCAUAAAAAUUACUAUAACUACCAAUAAAACACCAUUAGAAAUACACAAAGCUUUGACUAGAAAAUCUCACGACUUCUACUGCCACUCUAUUAUUAUUCACCGUAGCUUUAAUAGAAUAAAUUCUUUUUAAAAUUUGAAUUAAACUUUCUUUGAGUUUUGUCGGUACUCAAACAAGCUUUUCCAGUAUGAAGUAAAAAAUAAAGAAAAAGAAAAUAUAGAUCUAAAUAGAAAGAUAGAGAAAGAAAAAUAAAAAAAUAAAAAAUAAAAAGAGAAAUAGCCAAAGAAAGAAAAAAAUAAAGACAAAGAUAGUACAAAAAAAGAAAGAGGUGAGAAAGAGGGUGAAAAAAUUACCUAGGUUUAAUUUGAUAAAAUGGAAGAGAAAGAGAAUGAAAUUGGUCUUGGGGAGAAAAAGUUAUGCAUCAAAUACAAUGAAAGAAAAAGAAAGAGGAUAGGAAUAAAGGUGGCCUUGGGAAGAGAAAUACAUUGGGAACAGAAGGUGGCUACAACUUGUAAAUAAAUUAGGUGGGAAGGUCAUUUCGGGUCAAUGAUAAAAAUAUUGGCUAAUACAUUUUUUGAAAGGCCAUACAAUGUCAUUUACUCAAAAAAAAGAAGUCGAGAAUGAGUGGUAAACUAGAGCUGAUACCUCAUAUCUUAUGCGGCUUCUCACUAAGCUAUAUAAAAGUACGAAAGUUCUAGGAGUAAUUGAUAAAAUAAUACCACCAAACUGACAAGAGAGGACGGCUCAUGUGGUAGG
RNAcentral lists this long non-coding RNA (1880 nucleotides) under Nicotiana tabacum (common tobacco). RNAcentral's name for it is "long non-coding RNA (NTAB_LNC010347)". Lineage: Eukaryota; Viridiplantae; Streptophyta; Magnoliopsida; Solanales; Solanaceae. The record is from RNAcentral.